RNAcentral lists this ribosomal RNA (250 nucleotides) under uncultured bacterium. RNAcentral describes it as "partial 16S ribosomal RNA". It matches the Rfam family "Bacterial small subunit ribosomal RNA", at positions 524 to 773 of the family's 1533-position model. The record is from RNAcentral.
UACGUAGGUGGCGAGCGUUGUCCGGAAUUACUGGGUGUAAAGGGCGUGUAGGCGGGGCGCCAAGUCAGGUGUGAAAUUCCGGGGCUUAACUCCGGGUAUGCACCUGAAACUGGUACUCUUGAGUGUCGGAGAGGAAAGUGGAAUUCCCAGUGUAGCGGUGAAAUGCGUAGAGAUUGGGAGGAACACCAGUGGCGAAGGCGGCUUUCUGGACGAUAACUGACGCUGAGGCGCGAAAGCGUGGGGAGCAAAC